Long non-coding RNA from Ovis aries (sheep), 342 nucleotides. The record is from Ensembl. Lineage: Eukaryota; Metazoa; Chordata; Mammalia; Artiodactyla; Bovidae.
CUCACAGAGGACCCUGAGGCUGAGAGGUGAAGUCACUUGCCUGAGGACACAUAGGAGGGUGGUGAUCCACCGUGUGGAAAGCCCUGAGAACGCCAUGGCUAGAAUCCAUCUCCCGGGAGCACCCAGGCUCCAGAGGAAGAAGCUGGACUCCACCGAUGUUCAUCCCCUAGAUGCGCUGUAACAAGGCUCCCAGAAGGUCAAGGCCAGAACUCCGGGCCUGGGCUGCCUCGCUCUGACCACAUUUCCAAGCACAAAUUGCACCCUGACCCCGUCGUCCCCAAACCCUACAUGCUGGGAGAUGGAGUCACGUCAAGGCCAUGAUAUGUGGACCAGCCUUUCCAU